This 202-nucleotide RNase P RNA is filed under the name Veillonella sp. Its description in RNAcentral is "partial RNase P RNA component class A". It matches the Rfam family "Bacterial RNase P class A", at positions 1 to 217 of the family's 367-position model. From Rfam's summary of the family: Ribonuclease P (RNase P) is a ubiquitous endoribonuclease, found in archaea, bacteria and eukarya as well as chloroplasts and mitochondria. Lineage: Bacteria; Bacillati; Bacillota; Negativicutes; Veillonellales; Veillonellaceae. The record is from RNAcentral.
CAAGUAUGAAAGACGGUUGCGAGUCCAUUGGACUCGAGGAAAGUCCGAGCUCCAUAGGGCAGGAUGCCAGAUAACGUCUGGCGAGGGUGACCUUAGGGAAAGUGCCAUAGAAAAGGAAACCGCCACGUCAGUGGUAAGGGUGGAAAGGUGAGGUAAGAGCUCACCAGCAGUCUGGUAACAGGCUGGCUCGGUAAACCCCAUC